This 251-nucleotide ribosomal RNA is filed under the name uncultured bacterium. RNAcentral describes it as "partial small subunit ribosomal RNA". It matches the Rfam family "Bacterial small subunit ribosomal RNA", at positions 26 to 280 of the family's 1533-position model. The record is from RNAcentral.
AGGACGAACGCUGGCGGCGUGCUUAACACAUGCAAGUCGAACGGUGAAGCCUUUCGGGGUGGAUCAGUGGCGAACGGGUGAGUAACACGUGGGCAAUCUGCCCUGCAUUCUGGGACAAGCCUUGGAAACGAGGUCUAAUACCGGAUACGACGCAUCUCCGCAUGGGGUGUGCGUGGAAAGCCCCGGCGAUGCAGGAUGAGCCCGCGGCCUAUCAGCUUGUUGGUGGGGUAAUGGCCUACCAAGGCGACGAC